UACAGAGGUCUCAAGCGUUGUUCGGAAUCACUGGGCGUAAAGGGUGCGUAGGUGGCGUGGUAAGUCAGAUGUGAAAGCCCAGGGCUCAACCUUGGAAUUGCAUCCGAUACUACCAUGCUAGAGAACUGAAGAGGAGAGUAGAAUUCACGGUGUAGCAGUGAAAUGCGUGGAUAUCGUGAGGAAUACCAAAGGCGAAGGCAACUCUCUGGGCAGUUUCUGACACUGAGGCACGAAGGCUAGGGGAGCAAACGGG
RNAcentral lists this ribosomal RNA (253 nucleotides) under uncultured bacterium. RNAcentral's name for it is "partial 16S ribosomal RNA". It matches the Rfam family "Bacterial small subunit ribosomal RNA", at positions 524 to 776 of the family's 1533-position model. The record is from RNAcentral.